AUUAUUGGUCAGUCACUGCUCCCUCUCCUAAACUAAGAUGGAAUGGAUUUCUUUAAUAUUCAAGACUGUGAGCUAAGAUCAUCAGUGAAGACUCAGGAGUUCAAGCUUCCUGGAGUGGAUUCUUCAGAUUUCCAGACAACUAUUUUCUCCCAAAAAAUUGCACCAAGCAAAAAAUUACCUCAAUACACAUAAUGGCAAGGAAAUCUUUUGAAGAAAAAAUUGCAAAUGUUUUGGCAUACAUAAGGAGUAGCACAUAUCCUGAAGGAAUGAAUAAAGCAGGCAGACUGAACCUGCGUCGAUAUGCUGUCAACUUUUCAUUGGAAGAGGGGAGAUUGUUCCAUUCAGCAAAAGGAAGAAAGGUUGUCGUUGUGCAUACCAUGAAAGAAGCCCUGCAACUCUUUAAAAGG
Gopherus flavomarginatus (Mexican gopher tortoise) is the source of this 407-nucleotide long non-coding RNA. RefSeq lists it as uncharacterized. The record is from RefSeq and is a predicted model, not a curated record. The transcript has 5 exons. Lineage: Eukaryota; Metazoa; Chordata; Testudines; Testudinidae.